CCUACGGGGAGCUGCAGUGGGGAAUAUUGCACAAUGGGGGAAACCCUGAUGCAGCGACGCCGCGUGAGUGAAGAAGUAUUUCGGUAUGUAAAGCUCUAUCAGCAGGGAAGAAAAAAGACGGUACCUGACUAAGAAGCACCGGCUAACUACGUGCCAGCAGCCGCGGUAAUACGAAGGGGGCAAGCUUUAUCCGGAUUUACUGGGGGUAAAGGGAGCGUAGACGGGAUGGCAAGUCUGAGGGGAAAGCCCAGGGCUUAACCCUGGGACUGCUUUGGAAACUGUUAGACUAGAGUGCUGGAGAGGUAAGUGGAAUGCCUGGUGUAGCGGUGAAAUGCGUAGAUAUUAGGAGGAACACCAGUGGCGAAGGCGGCUUACUGGACAGUAACUGACGUUGAGGCUCGAAAGCGUGGGGAGCAAACAGGAUUAGAUACCCUGGUAGUC
This 441-nucleotide ribosomal RNA is filed under the name uncultured bacterium. RNAcentral's name for it is "partial 16S ribosomal RNA". It matches the Rfam family "Bacterial small subunit ribosomal RNA", at positions 338 to 795 of the family's 1533-position model. The record is from RNAcentral.